CUUGAAACUGUUUCGCUUGAGUGUAGGAGAGGGCAGUAGAAUUCCAGGUGUAGUGGUGAAAUACGUAGAUAUCUGGAGGAAUACCGGAGGGGAAGCCGGCUGCCUGGCCUAACACUGACACUCAGACCCGAAAGCGUGGGGAUCAAACAGGAUUAGAUACCCUGGUAGUCCACGCCGUAAACGAUGGACACUUGGUGUUGGAGGUAUUGACCCCUUCAGUGCCGAAGCAAACGCGUUAAGUGUCCCGCCUGGGGAGUACGGCCGCAAGGUUAAAACUCAAAGAAAUUGACGGGGGCCCGCACAAGCGGUGGAGCAUGUGGUUUAAUUCGAUGCAACGCGAAAAACCUUACCUAGAUUUGACAUCUAGUGGAAGACUCUCAGAAAUGAGGUCGCCUUCGGGCCGCUAGACAGGUGCUGCAUGGCUGUCGUCAGCUCGUGUCGUGAGAUGUUGGGUUAAGUCCCGCAACGAGCGCAACCCUUGCCUUUAGUUGCCAGCAUUUAGUUGGGCACUCUAAAGGGACUGCCGACGUUAAGUCGGAGGAAGGUGGGGAUGACGUCAAGUCCUCAUGGCCUUUAUAUCUAGGGCUACACACGUGCUACAAUGGUCGGUACAGAGGGCAACGAUACCGCAAGGUGGAGUAAAUCCCAAAAAGCCGAUCUAAGUUCGGAUUG
RNAcentral lists this ribosomal RNA (672 nucleotides) under uncultured bacterium. Its description in RNAcentral is "bacterial SSU rRNA". It matches the Rfam family "Bacterial small subunit ribosomal RNA", at positions 626 to 1300 of the family's 1533-position model. The record is from RNAcentral.